GGUGGUGAAGUCGCUCGG
This 18-nucleotide unclassified non-coding RNA is filed under the name synthetic construct. The record is from RNAcentral.